UUUUGCGAUUUAUUUUGAUCACAGUAGUGAUGAUGAAAAACCCUGUGAAAGUGAAGGAAAUCAUAGCCAUUAUCUGUUUUUAAUCUAGACUACCCACAGAUAUCAUUAAAAAGUCGUCGCAUCGGUGUAUCGAUAGGAAUAUUAGAAGACCAAUCAACAAAUUUGAUAUUGAUUGCAAUAUUUCUAACCCACUUGUGGAUGUAAUCUCUUUUUCUAUUAUAUUUGUGCAUGUCAGCCGUCGCAUGUCUAGCUCGAACUCAACAUUCCUCAUAAAACAUGAAUCUUCUUCGUCAUGC
This 296-nucleotide unclassified non-coding RNA is filed under the name Hevea brasiliensis (rubber tree). The record is from RNAcentral. Lineage: Eukaryota; Viridiplantae; Streptophyta; Magnoliopsida; Malpighiales; Euphorbiaceae.